ACACGUAGGGGGCGAGCGUUGUCCGGAUUUAUUGGGCGUAAAGAGCUCGUAGGCGGUUUCGUAAGUCGGGUGUGAAAACUCCAGGCUCAACCUGGAGACGCCACCCGAUACUGCGAUGACUAGAGUCCGGUAGGGGAGCGUGGAAUUCCUGGUGUAGCGGUGAAAUGCGCAGAUAUCAGGAGGAACACCGACGGCGAAGGCAGCGCUCUGGGCCGGUACUGACGCUGAGGAGCGAAAGCGUGGGGAGCGAACAGGAUUAGAUACCCUGGUAGUCCACGCCGUAAACGUUGGGCACUAGGUGUGGGAUCUUUCCAACGGAUUCCGUGCCGUAGCUAACGCAUUAAGUGCCCCGCCUGGGGAGUACGGCCGCAAGGCUAAA
This 379-nucleotide ribosomal RNA is filed under the name uncultured bacterium. Its description in RNAcentral is "bacterial SSU rRNA". It matches the Rfam family "Bacterial small subunit ribosomal RNA", at positions 523 to 898 of the family's 1533-position model. The record is from RNAcentral.